CCUACGGGUGGCAGCAGUGAGGAAUAUUGGUCAAUGGGCGGGAGCCUGAACCAGCCAAGCCGCGUGCAGGAAGAAGGCACUGCGUGUCGUAAACUUCUUUUGUCAGGGAACAAAGGCCGCGACUCGUCCCCGUCUGAGGGUACCUGAAGAAAAAGCAUCGGCUAACUCCGUGCCAGCAGCCGCGGUAAUACGGAGGAUGCGAGCGUUAUCCGGAUUUAUUGGGUUUAAAGGGUGCGUAGGCGGUCGGGUAAGUCAGCGGUAAAAGCCCGGGGCUCAACCCCGGCGAGCCGUUGAAACCGGCGGGCUAGAGAGGGAGAGAAGUACGCGGAAUGCGCGGUGUAGCGGUGAAAUGCUUAGAUAUCGCGCAGAACCCCGAUUGCGAAGGCAGCGUACCGGCGCCGCACUGACGCUGAGGCACGAAAGCGUGGGUAUCGAACAGGAUUAGAUACCCUUGUAGUC
This 459-nucleotide ribosomal RNA is filed under the name uncultured bacterium. RNAcentral's name for it is "partial 16S ribosomal RNA". It matches the Rfam family "Bacterial small subunit ribosomal RNA", at positions 338 to 795 of the family's 1533-position model. The record is from RNAcentral.